AAUAAGAUAUUUUCUUUCAUUCUUCCUUCAAUAAUUUAGCAAAAGUAUAUGAUUUUGAGCUAGUCAUCAAAAAUAUUAUAUAUAUAGAGAGAGGGGGGCAUGUCAUAUAUAUAUAUUUAUAAAGUCAUGUCAAUAUUCAAAGCUGUCUAUAUGAGGUGUCUGUACCACAGUGGUUACUCAGGAUUUUCUCUAUUUUGUUCAAUUGUCCACUUAUCAAGAGCAUGGAUACUAAAAUGUAGAUAGAUAUUUGUAACGUUCUCUCUGGGAUAAGUUGAAAGGUGCUGUGAGAUACUAAACAGUUAAUGGUGGCCUCACUAUUUCACCACUAGCUCAUAAUAAUUUGUGACUUCAUUUGAAAAUUAACCCCUCUUAUGUGUACCAAUAGUCUAGUAUUGUGCUCUUUUCAAAUGAUAUAAAUGCUAAAGUGAUGGGGGGCACCCACAUACCAUGUUUAGAAGGAUAUUUUUUAAAAACUUAACAGAGAACUUUCCACAAUAUUCUGUUAUUGAGAAGUAGCAAGAAAAUAAAACCGAUAAAUGCGCCAUUAGAAACCAUUGAUAUAAAUACAUAGAAAGAAAAUCCCUGUUGUUGUAGUCAGUCCCUGACAAUCAGGUAAAAUGCAGGAAAUGUGAGUUCCUUCAGGUUCCCACCUGACUCUAAUUCUUUCUUCUCUCUUCAACUUGCUGAGAAUCAUAUCUAUGCUAAGGAUCCCUCUAACUUGUUCAUUUAUGAAAAAUGUCCAGUGUACAACACUCACUGUUCAAAGGCCCAGAACUUAAGAAUGCUCUGAUCUCAACUGUAUCUUGUUUUCAUCUAGCCCUUAUGUUCCUUAAUGUCAGAUAGUAGAUCCUCUCUCUAUAUUCCAUUUCUCUGGAGAGUCCAGAAACACUCUCUUGCCCCUACCUACAUAUUUUAAUCAUGUUCAUGUAUAAAUGUACUGUCUUCUACUAUGCUCUCUCUUUCCAAGCCGGGCUUAAUGUACCCUUCUUUGCCUUCAAGGCCAUUUAUCUUUCUCAUGUUCUUAAUCUGGAAUUCCAAGAACAUUAGACUUUUCAUAGUUAUUUCCAGGUGGGUACUAGCCAUAAUAGGUGUUAAAGAUACCUAGAAAAAGGUACUUUUUUUUUUAGAAGCUAGGUGUUUAAGAGAGAGUUAUUCAUGAGUAUCUUAGUUACUUUCCUAUUGCCAUGGCAAAACACUAUGAUCAUGGCAACUUAUAAAAAUAAGCAUUUAAUCUGGUCUCAUGGUUUAGAAGAGUCUAUGUGCAUCACAGAGAGAAGCAUGGCAACAUGCUGGCAUGUCACCUGACCCACCUGUGGGAGCCAGAGAGAAAUGACAUGAAUUUUUGAAACAUCAAAGCUCACCUCUGGCAGCGUACCUCUUCAAGCAGCAACACACCUUCUCAUCCUUCCCAAACAGUUUCACCGACUAGAGACAAAACAUUCCAACAUAUGAGUAUACAGAGACAGCUCUCCUUCAAACCACCACAAAGAAGAUAUUAGAACUUUGACUGAUGUUUAAAUGGUAGAUCUGGAUGGGAAAUUUCUCUUUCACUAAUGAACAGCAUUGGCUAAGAUAUUGGGAGUUUACACUUUUUGAUAGGUAAAAGUUUCAUCCAGAAGCGUCUAGAAUUGUUCCGCCCUGUCUUGUCCCCAGAUAUUUCUUGCCUGUAUGUUUUCAGGAUCUAAGUAUUUGAGAAGCACUAAAUACAUUAAAAGAACAUGGAUUCAUCUUGAUGUAAUACCUGCAGGAAUAGGAGGUGCUCAGGACUUCAAGAAGGAAUUGGGCAUUUGGUGCCUGAACUGGUCCAGCCUCAAGGGUUUGGGCUACUAAUCGAUGCUUCCCUAGAUAAACUCUCUGAACCUGUCAAAAAUCAAGAAUCAUCACAUCUCAAAAUACUUUAUUCAGUGGAAGGAUUAUUUCUCUUUUGAUACGUUGUUCUGUUGAGGUGGAGAAAUGCAAAUAACCCUUUGGAGAACCCCUUGAAAUACAUGGGCUCCUCACUUAGGGCCCAAUUAGUAGGAAAAACUCACUCUUCUAUAAGAUUUCACUGUGCCCUUGAAAUUGCACUUCAAAACUACAUGCACUGACUUCCCCCAGGCACAGAAACAGGCUCCAUGUUUUAAUUCUGACCUUAAUUAAAUCUCUUACACAUAAUGUCUAUGUGAUUCUCCAGUGACACAGGACAGGCAGAGGAAAGGUAAGUGACCGACACUCUAGUUUUAUUUUGUUCUUACAAUAGACCACUAUGGCCAAAUGAAGUUUAGGCAUAGAAGGCUUGUGCUUUGGCUCACAUAUCACGGACUGUUAUUGCGGGAAGUCAAAUCAGGCACUCAAACAGGAUCAGGAAGCAGAAAUCCUGGGAAGCCACUGCUUUCUGGCUCACUUACUCACAGGUUCCUGCUUCUAUAGCUUUCUUAAACAGUUCAGGGCCACAGAGAAGCGGUACCACCCUAUAUCAAUUAACAAUCUAGACAAUUCUCCACAGAUGUGUCCAGUGGACAAUCCCAUCUGGGUAAUCCAUCAAAGGAGACUCACUUCUCAGGUGACUCUUGGCUAUGUGACAUUGACAGUUAAAGCUAAAUAUGACCCCUGCAAAUUUUCUUUCUUUUUUUUUUUUUCAAAUUUCCUCUCUGUCUCUCCAUCUCUAUCUCUGUCUCUCUCUCUUUUAUGAUAGAGUUGGACUUUAAGAGAACAUCCUCAGUUGUGUUACAACAUUACAAGUCUGAAGCAGUUAAAAUCAUGCCCAGAGUCAUGCUUGGUGGUGUCUUCUCUACUGCUCAUCCAGUCUCAUCUAGUUUCUUGUACUUGAUAAAACCAAAGUCAGUGAAAGAUGCUCUGUAUAGGUUUUCCCUAUGGUUGAUCCUAACCCAACUGCUGGAGUGCCAUGCAAAAUGAUAGCACUCUUUGAAAUCCAAGGCGGGGAAGUUAUCCUGGCUGAAGACAAUGUGUUCAGCACAGGUCUGAUAGCAUGGUGGCUGCACUGUUUGUGGCAAGCUGUGGUUUGCACUGUCUUUCACUUUUGGUUUCACCUAGCACGUGGGAGGAAACCUAUAGCCAAGAGAAACAAACACACCUGCAAAAACCUCCUGCUUCUAGAGCAGAAUCGGAAGGUCUCUUGUGUGUCUGUCUGCUUUAGUUUGACUUUUGUGUCCCUCUGAGAAAACACUUCCAACUGAGAUAAGACCCAGUGACCUAGUGUGCAGCCCAGAUUCAGGAAGGAGGUCUCCCCUCCCCCAGCAUGCUCAAAACAGGAAAGAAGUGUUUUAUGUUGUAUCUCAACAGACC
RNAcentral lists this long non-coding RNA (3285 nucleotides) under Mus musculus (house mouse). RNAcentral describes it as "long non-coding RNA chr12:89716336-89719621". Lineage: Eukaryota; Metazoa; Chordata; Mammalia; Rodentia; Muridae. The record is from RNAcentral.